UGCAUAUCAAUAAGCGGAGGAAAAGAAACCAACAGGGAUUGCCUCAGUAACGGCGAGUGAAGCGGCAAAAGCUCAAAUUUGAAAUCUGGUACCUUCGGUGCCCGAGUUGUAAUUUGAAGAUUGUACUCUGGAGUUGGCCCUUGUCUAUGUUCCUUGGAACAGGACGUCACAGAGGGUGAGAAUCCCGUGCGAUGGGGUGUCCAAUUCCAUGUAGAGUGCUAUCGAAGAGUCGAGUUGUUUGGGAAUGCAGCUCUAAGUGGGUGGUAAAUUCCAUCUAAAGCUAAAUAUUGGCGAGAGACCGAUAGCGAACAAGUACAGUGAUGGAAAGAUGAAAAGAACUUUGAAAAGAGAGUGAAAAAGUACGUGAAAUUGUUGAAAGGGAAGGUUAUUAGAUCAGACUUGGUGUUUGGCGAUAUUCAGCCUCUUGUAGGCUGUUCACUCGUCUUUCACUGGGCCAGCAUCGGUUUGGAUGGCAGGAUAAUGGCUGUUGAACGUGGCUCUUCGGAGUGUUAUAGCUUCAGCUGAUACUGCCUAUCUAGACCGAGGACUGCGGCUUUCGAGCCUAGGAUGCUGGCGUAAUGAUCUAAUAUCGCCCGUCUUG
This 601-nucleotide ribosomal RNA is filed under the name Waltiozyma solani. Its description in RNAcentral is "eukaryotic LSU rRNA". It matches the Rfam family "Eukaryotic large subunit ribosomal RNA", at positions 37 to 656 of the family's 3401-position model. Lineage: Eukaryota; Fungi; Ascomycota; Saccharomycetes; Phaffomycetales; Wickerhamomycetaceae. The record is from RNAcentral.